RNAcentral lists this ribosomal RNA (253 nucleotides) under uncultured bacterium. Its description in RNAcentral is "partial 16S ribosomal RNA". It matches the Rfam family "Bacterial small subunit ribosomal RNA", at positions 524 to 776 of the family's 1533-position model. The record is from RNAcentral.
UACGUAGGGUGCAAGCGUUGUCCGGAAUUAUUGGGCGUAAAGAGCUCGUAGGCGGUUCGUCGCGUCGGCUGUGAAAACCUGAGGCUCAACCUCAGGCCUGCAGUCGAUACGGGCGGACUUGAGUACUGCAGGGGAGACUGGAAUUCCUGGUGUAGCGGUGAAAUGCGUAGAUAUCGAGAGGAACACCUGCGGCGAAGGCGGGUUGCUGGGCUGACACUGACGCUGAGGCGCGAAAGCCAGGGGAGCGAACGGG